AAUGGGCGCAAGCCUGAUCUAGCCAUGCCGCGUGUGUGAUGAAGGCCUUAGGGUCGUAAAGCACUUUCGCCUGUGAAGAUAAUGACUGUAGCAGGUAAAGAAACCCCGGCUAACUCCGUGCCAGCAGCCGCGGUAAUACGGAGGGGGUUAGCGUUGUUCGGAAUUACUGGGCGUAAAGCGCGCGUAGGCGGGCUGGAAAGUUGGGGGUGAAAUCCCGGGGCUCAACCCCGGAACUGCCUCCAAAACUCCCAGCCUAGAGGUCGAGAGAGGUGAGUGGAAUUCCGAGUGUAGAGGUGAAAUUCGUAGAUAUUCGGAGGAACACCAGUGGCGAAGGCGGCUCACUGGCUCGAUACUGACGCUGAGGUGCGAAAGUGUGGGGAGCAAACAGGAUUAGAUACCCUGGUAGUCCACACCGUAAACGAUGAAUGCCAGUCGUCGGGGAGCUUGCUCUUCGGUGACGCAGUUAACGCUUUAAGCAUUCCGCCUGG
This 488-nucleotide ribosomal RNA is filed under the name uncultured Ruegeria sp. RNAcentral's name for it is "bacterial SSU rRNA". It matches the Rfam family "Bacterial small subunit ribosomal RNA", at positions 370 to 876 of the family's 1533-position model. The record is from RNAcentral. Lineage: Bacteria; Pseudomonadati; Pseudomonadota; Alphaproteobacteria; Rhodobacterales; Roseobacteraceae.